GACGAACGCUGGCGGCGUGCUUAACACAUGCAAGUCGAACGAAGAGCGAUGGAAGCUUGCUUCUAUCAAUCUUAGUGGCGCACGGGUGAGUAACGCGUAAUCAACCUGCCCUUCAGAGGGGGACAACAGUUGGAAACGACUGCUAAUACCGCAUACGAUCUAAUCUCGGCAUCGAGGAUAGAUGAAAGGUGGCCUCUACAUGUAAGCUAUCACUGAAGGAGGGGAUUGCGUCUGAUUAGCUAGCUGGAGGGGUAACGGCCCACCAAGGCGAGGAUCAGUAGCCGGUCUUGGAGGGUGAACGGCCACAUUGGGACUGGGACCCGGCCCCGGCUCCUACGGGAGGCAGCAGUGGGGAAUCUUCCGCCAUGGACGGAAGUCUGACGGAGCAACGCCGCGUGAGUGAUGACGGCCUUCGGGUUGUAAAGCUCUGUUAAUCGGGACGAAAGGCCUUCUUGCGAAUAGUGAGAAGGAUUGACGGUACCGGAAUAGAAAGCCACGGCUAACUACGUG
RNAcentral lists this ribosomal RNA (510 nucleotides) under uncultured bacterium. Its description in RNAcentral is "partial 16S ribosomal RNA". It matches the Rfam family "Bacterial small subunit ribosomal RNA", at positions 28 to 507 of the family's 1533-position model. The record is from RNAcentral.